GCCACUGAUGAAAGAGCUUCCGAUACCGCGUAGGCGGAACGGAAACACACUAUGUCGAUGCAACUGUGAACUCUAUCUUUCGCUCCGAGCUGACGU
Small nucleolar RNA from Trypanosoma brucei brucei TREU927, 96 nucleotides. The record is from RefSeq and is a predicted model, not a curated record. NCBI's taxonomy places the organism in Eukaryota, Euglenozoa, Kinetoplastea, Trypanosomatida, Trypanosomatidae.